UUCCGGUUGAUCCCGCCGGACCCCACUGCUAUCGGGGUGGGACUAAGACAUGCGAGUCGUACGCCUCCCAGCCGCCGGGGGAGGCGUGGCGCACGGCUCAGUAACACGUGGCUAACCUGCCCUUGGGACGGGGAUAACCCCGGGAAACUGGGGCUAAUCCCCGAUAGGUGAGGAGGCCUGGAAUGGUUCCUCACCGAAAGGGCGUCGGGACCGUGCUCCCGACGUCGCCCAAGGAUGGGGCCGCGGCCGAUCAGGUUGUUGGUGAGGUAACGGCUCACCAAGCCUAUAUCCGGUACGGGCCGUGAGAGCGGGAGCCCGGAGAUGGGCACUGAGACAAGGGCCCAGGCCCUACGGGGCGCAGCAGUCGCGAAAACUCCACAAUGCGCGAAAGCGUGAUGGGGCCACCCCGAGUGCCGUCCGCUGAGGACGGCUUUUCCCCGGUGUAGACAGCCGGGGGUWAUAAGGAGAGGCAAGUCUGUGUCAGCCGCCGCGUAAUACCAGCUCUCCGAGUGUGGGACGAUUAUUGGCCUAAAGCGUCGUAGCGCUCGGCGUGUCUCCCGUUAAAUCCAACGAUCCAAUCGUUGGACUGCGGGAGGAUACUGCCGGGCUAGGGGGCGGGAGAGGUCGCGGUACUCUCGGGGUAGGGGUGAAAUCCUAUAAUCCCGGGAGGACCACCAGUGGCGAAGGCUGCCGUCUAGAACGCGCCCGACGGUGAGGGACGAAAGCUGGGGGAGCGAACCGGAUUAGAUACCCGGGUAGUCCCAGCUGUAAACGAUGCGGGCUAGGUGUUGGGACGGCUACGAGCCGUCCCAGUGCCGCAGGGAAGCCGUUAAGCCCGCCGCCUGGGGAGUACGGCCGCAAGGCUGAAACUUAAAGGAAUUGGCGGGGGAGCACCACAAGGGGUGAAGCUUGCGGUUUAAUUGGAUUCAACGCCGG
This 936-nucleotide ribosomal RNA is filed under the name uncultured archaeon. RNAcentral describes it as "bacterial SSU rRNA". It matches the Rfam family "Archaeal small subunit ribosomal RNA", at positions 1 to 921 of the family's 1478-position model. The record is from RNAcentral.